UACGGGGGGAGCAAGCGUUGUUCGGAUUUACUGGGCGUAAAGGGCGCGUAGGCGGCCAGCACAAGUCAGUUGUGAAAUCUCCGGGCUUAACUCGGAAAGGUCAACUGAUACUGUGCGGCUAGAGUGCAGAAGGGGCAACUGGAAUUCUUGGUGUAGCGGUGAAAUGCGUAGAUAUCAAGAGGAACACCUGCGGCGAAGGCGGGUUGCUGGGCCGACACUGACGCUGAGGCGCGAAAGCUAGGGGAGCGAACGGG
This 254-nucleotide ribosomal RNA is filed under the name uncultured bacterium. Its description in RNAcentral is "partial 16S ribosomal RNA". It matches the Rfam family "Bacterial small subunit ribosomal RNA", at positions 524 to 776 of the family's 1533-position model. The record is from RNAcentral.